CCUACGGGCGGCUGCAGUGGGGAAUAUUGGACAAUGGGGGGAACCCUGAUCCAGCCAUGCCGCGUGUGUGAAGAAGGCCCUCGGGUUGUAAAGCACUUUCAGUGAGGAAGAACGCCUGGUGGUUAAUACCCAUCAGGAAAGACAUCACUCACAGAAGAAGCACCGGCUAACUCCGUGCCAGCAGCCGCGGUAAUACGGAGGGUGCGAGCGUUAAUCGGAAUUACUGGGCGUAAAGCGCGCGUAGGUGGCUUGAUAAGCCGGUUGUGAAAGCCCCGGGCUCAACCUGGGAACGGCAUCCGGAACUGUCAAGCUAGAGUGAAGGAGAGGAAGGUAGAAUUCCCGGUGUAGCGGUGAAAUGCGUAGAGAUCGGGAGGAAUACCAGUGGCGAAGGCGGCCUUCUGGACUGACACUGACACUGAGGUGCGAAAGCGUGGGUAGCAAACAGGAUUAGAUACCCUGGUAGUC
RNAcentral lists this ribosomal RNA (465 nucleotides) under Vreelandella stevensii. RNAcentral's name for it is "partial 16S ribosomal RNA". It matches the Rfam family "Bacterial small subunit ribosomal RNA", at positions 338 to 795 of the family's 1533-position model. The record is from RNAcentral. Lineage: Bacteria; Pseudomonadati; Pseudomonadota; Gammaproteobacteria; Oceanospirillales; Halomonadaceae.